CCCUUAGAUGUCCUGGGCCGCACGCGCGUUACACUGAUGCAUUCAACGAGCUUAUAACCUUGGCCGAGAGGCCUGGGCAACCUUGUUAACGUGCAUCGUGAUAGGGAUAGAUUAUUGCAAUUAUUAAUCAUAAACGAGGAAUGCCUAGUAAGCGUGAGUCAUCAGCUCACGUUGAUUACGUCCCUGCCCUUUGUACACACCGCCCGUCGCUCCUACCGAUUGAAUGUGCUGGUGAAAAGUUCGGAUUGGGAAUAGGAGACGGCAACGUAUCCUGUUUCUGAGAAAAUCUUUAAACCCUCCCAUUUAGAGGAAGGAGAAGUCGUAACA
Molecule: ribosomal RNA, 327 nt
Filed under: uncultured eukaryote
Lineage: Eukaryota
Description: partial 18S ribosomal RNA
Rfam family: Eukaryotic small subunit ribosomal RNA
Source: RNAcentral